This 1246-nucleotide ribosomal RNA is filed under the name 'Oenothera biennis' yellows phytoplasma. RNAcentral's name for it is "bacterial SSU rRNA". It matches the Rfam family "Bacterial small subunit ribosomal RNA", at positions 153 to 1399 of the family's 1533-position model. Lineage: Bacteria; Bacillati; Mycoplasmatota; Mollicutes; Acholeplasmatales; Acholeplasmataceae. The record is from RNAcentral.
GAAACGACUGCUAAGACUGGAUAGGAGACAAGAGGGCAUCUUCUUGUUUUUAAAAGACCUAGCAAUAGGUAUGCUUAGGGAGGAGCUUGCGUCACAUUAGCUAGUUGGUGGGGUAAAGGCCUAACAAGACUAUGAUGUGUAGCCGGGCUGAGAGGUUGAACGGCCACAUUGGGACUGAGACACGGCCCAAACUCCUACGGGAGGCAGCAGUAGGGAAUUUUCGGCAAUGGAGGAAACUCUGACCGAGCAACGCCGCGUGAACGAUGAAGUAUUUCGGUACGUAAAGUUCUUUUAUUAGGGAAGAAUAAAUGAUGGAAAAAUCAUUCUGACGGUACCUAAUGAAUAAGCCCCGGCUAACUAUGUGCCAGCAGCCGCGGUAAUACAUAGGGGGCAAGCGUUAUCCGGAAUUAUUGGGCGUAAAGGGUGCGUAGGCGGUUAAAUAAGUUUAUGGUCUAAGUGCAAUGCUCAACAUUGUGAUGCUAUAAAAACUGUUUAGCUAGAGUAAGAUAGAGGCAAGUGGAAUUCCAUGUGUAGUGGUAAAAUGCGUAAAUAUAUGGAGGAACACCAGUAGCGAAGGCGGCUUGCUGGGUCUUUACUGACGCUGAGGCACGAAAGCGUGGGGAGCAAACAGGAUUAGAUACCCUGGUAGUCCACGCCGUAAACGAUGAGUACUAAACGUUGGGUAAAACCAGUGUUGAAGUUAACACAUUAAGUACUCUGCCUGAGUAGUACGUACGCAAGUAUGAAACUUAAAGGAAUUGACGGGACUCCGCACAAGCGGUGGAUCAUGUUGUUUAAUUCGAAGGUACCCGAAAAACCUCACCAGGUCUUGACAUGCUUCUGCAAAGCUGUAGAAACACAGCGGAGGUUAUCAGUUGCACAAGUGGUGCAUGGUUGUCGUCAGCUCGUGUCGUGAGAUGUUGGGUUAAGUCCUGCAACGAGCGCAACCCUUAUUGUUAGUUACCAGCACGUAAUGGUGGGGACUUUAGCAAGACUGCCAGUGAUAAAUUGGAGGAAGGUGGGGACGACGUCAAAUCAUCAUGCCCCUUAUGACCUGGGCUACAAACGUGAUACAAUGGCUGUUACAAAGGGUAGCUGAAGCGCAAGUUUUUGGCAAAUCUCAAAAAAACAGUCUCAGUUCGGAUUGAAGUCUGCAACUCGACUUCAUGAAGUUGGAAUCGCUAGUAAUCGCGAAUCAGCAUGUCGCGGUGAAUACGUUCUCGGGGUUUGUACACACCGCCCGUCA